GGACACGUGAACCCCUGGGCAGCGAAUGCAGGAGGCGGGGGCUGUGCCUCUGGACGCUGCAGCUGGGCUGGAGCCCUCUCCCUGCCACCAUGGAAACAGCAAUAUCAGAAAGCACAGUCCUGGUUAGCGGCGUGCUCGUGCCAUGUGCCUGUCAGUUCUGCAAGCAUUUGUUGGAUGUGAAGGUUGGUGUGAUGACCACGCUGCCCACAACAGGCAAAAGGGUGCGGACAGCUGAGGCUCCUCACUUCCCGCUCCAAAGCUCAGAACCUCCCUUCCCUCCUGGAUCCAACAGAAGCAGCGGCCGCUGCUGCCUGUGCCUCUCAAACUUGUCACCCACGGAUGCUGGGAAAAAUGCACAUAAAAGGGUCCUGUCUUUGUGAUGUCAGCGUGAAGUGGAAUUCGCAGAAUGGCUAAAGUGGAGGGAAGACUUAAAAUGCAUUGGAUGAUGAUAGCAGCGUCAUUUACAAUCACCACGACUUGGAAGCAGCCGAGAUGUCCUUUGGCAGAUGAUUGGAGAAAUGAACUGUGGCACGUCCAUGCAGACCAUGAAAUACUAUUCAGUGCUAAAAAUGAGUGAGCUUUCCAUCCAUGAAAAGACAUAGAGAAACCUGAAAUGCAGAUCACAAAGUGAAAGGCCAAUCUGGAAAGGCUACACACCCUAUGACUCCAACCUGUGACAUUCCCAAAGAGGGAUUUUUCCAAAGAGGAAAAAUUAUGGGGACAGUAAAAAGAGGAGCUGCCAUCAUUAGGGAAGCAGGAGUUGAGGAGAGUCAGAGUGACACCACUGAAAAAUCUUCUCUGUCUUGAGACUAACAAGGUACCUUCCUUGCCAGUCACAACCCAUGGUCCUAAGAUGGUCACAGCUAAGGAGGCAGCUUGGUACUGCCUGCAAGGACAAACUCCUAAAACAACAGAAAGCCCAGAUGUCCCAAUACCCAUAGCAAUAUGUGCUUUCAAGAUAAUUAUAGAUGUGCUUUGAUGUACUCAUGUACUAGACUGUUAAGGAUAGUUUUCUUUAAAUCAGUAGCAUAAUCAAUUUUGUCAUGCUGUCUGCUCCCCCUCACAGAGUCGCAGCUUGGUUUAGUCAUUACGUAGACAAGACCCCUAUAUAAGAAAAACUUAAAACAAAGACGGUGCAUUCUCUCGGAAGGUCCCGUGCUCUGUAAUGGAGUAGGUUUUAAUAAACGUGCUUCCUUCGCUGCA
RNAcentral lists this long non-coding RNA (1203 nucleotides) under Homo sapiens (human). RNAcentral's name for it is "long intergenic non-protein coding RNA 1346". Lineage: Eukaryota; Metazoa; Chordata; Mammalia; Primates; Hominidae. The record is from RNAcentral.